RNAcentral lists this ribosomal RNA (99 nucleotides) under bovine gut metagenome. The record is from RNAcentral.
AGGGCGAGGGUCCACCCGUUCCCAUCCCGAACACGGAAGUUAAGCUCGCUUCUGCCCACGAUACUUGGCUGGAGACGGCCCGGAAAAACAGGUAGCGCC